GAUGAACGCUAGCGGCAGGCCUAACACAUGCAAGUCGAGGGGUAGAAUUAGCUUGCUAAUUUGAGACCGGCGCACGGGUGCGUAACGCGUAUGCAAUCUACCUUGUACAGGGGGAUAGCCCAGAGAAAUUUGGAUUAAUACCCCAUGGUAUAAUUAAUUUGCAUGAAUUGAUUAUUAAAGUUCCAACGGUACAAGAUGAGCAUGCGUCCCAUUAGCUAGUUGGUGUGGUAACGGCAUACCAAGGCGACGAUGGGUAGGGGUCCUGAGAGGGAGAUCCCCCACACUGGUACUGAGACACGGACCAGACUCCUACGGGAGGCAGCAGUGAGGAAUAUUGGUCAAUGGUCGGAAGACUGAACCAGCCAUGCCGCGUGCAGGAAGAAGCAUCUAUGGUGUGUAAACUGCUUUUGUACGGGAAGAAACACUCCUUCGUGAAGGAGCUUGACGGUACCGUAAGAAUAAGGAUCGGCUAACUCCGUGCCAGCAGCCGCGGUAA
Molecule: ribosomal RNA, 496 nt
Filed under: uncultured bacterium
Lineage: Bacteria
Description: bacterial SSU rRNA
Rfam family: Bacterial small subunit ribosomal RNA
Source: RNAcentral